This is a long non-coding RNA of Lepidothrix coronata (blue-crowned manakin), 1981 nucleotides long. RefSeq lists it as uncharacterized. Lineage: Eukaryota; Metazoa; Chordata; Aves; Passeriformes; Pipridae. The record is from RefSeq and is a predicted model, not a curated record. The transcript is spliced from 5 exons.
GGGCAGGCGGAGCGGCGGGGCCGGGCCGGGCUGAGGGGCCGCGGGACGAGGGUCGGAGGAGGGCGGUGUGUCCAGCCUCCUGUGAAAUGCUGAAGGGCAAACCUGGAGAAGGGAUGAAAUCCCUCAGCUCUUAUCCCAGCAGGGAGGAACUGGGGAGCAGUUGGUGUGGUGCCAUCUCAGCCCAGCUCUGGGGGGUUGGGUUACCCAAAGGUUGGGAUGAAGCUGGAGAGCUGGAAAUAUCCAGAUGUGAAGAUCCAGGGUAGCUGCUGCUUUCACUUCCCCAUCUUCAGAAGGUGAGUAGAGGUGGGUUCCCUCUGCUUUGGUUCCUGACUAAUCAUUUCAAUACCUGGCUUUAGGUGCAGGUGAUAGAGCAGCCCCAGGGAUCUCUUGGGAAGACUGAGGAAUUCCUGAUCCAGUUCGAUGUCUCUGGGUUGGGUUAUUCCCACAAGGGCACUUUUCCUGUGGGAUAACUGGGAAUGGCUGCUGUUUGCUGGCUGGGUUUUUGGGCAGAGCCUGAUCCUUGUUAGGCUGGGUCUGAGCAGGGCUUGGAGCCUGAAUUGUUGUGUCACCAGGCUGAACUUGUUCCUGGCCUGGUGCAGUGAGUGAGGUGCAAACAGGGCAGUGCAGACUUGGAGCCAGAGGAAGGAGCUGCAAGGCACAGGAUUUAAUGCAGUGGGAGUUCUGUGGAGCCUGGACCAGCAACAAGCCUGACCCAAAUUUUUGAGUCUUCCCUUCUGCAUAAAACUCUCCAGUGGCCUUGGGACACUUCAGAAACCAGCCCAAGAGCAGCAAAUGUAUUUAAUGCACACUCUGUGCUGCUGAAAGGGGGCUUUGUCUGCAGAAUGACUUUGUAUUUUCUACUUUUGCAUUAAAGAAAACUAUUACUGAGCUGCAGCACAUCAGGAGGAUGAGUUUGGAGGGAGGGGUGGGUUUAUUUUAUUUUAGAGCUGAGUGGACACUGAGCUGAGCCUAAACAAAUGCCUGCGUGGGGAAUCCUGGCCCUGCAGGUCUGCAGACACCACCAGCUGUGGGUGGGUGGCUUGGGGUGUUCCGUGGGCCUGAGCAGAAUCCGUGGGCCUGAGCAGAAUCCAUGGGCUCUUCCCUGGGGCUCUGGCAGCAGACACAGAGUGGAGCCUGUGUUUCCUGGCAUCAGGAGCAAGGUCAGCCCAGCCUGGCCUACAUCUUUCCUUUUUUUAAAUUGUGAUGGAAAAAAAAAGAAAAGAUCCAGGCUGAUUUUUGCUGAAAGCAGAGGUUUUUCACUUGGUUCCAGCUGAUUAUGGCCCCACUUCCUGGUCCCCUCCCUCCCCUGGGUCUCAUAGGAUAAUCUAAUUAUUAAACAGCUCCAAUAAAAGCACAUCUUGCCCUGGCAGGAAUAAAGCCUAUUGAUAGGCAGGAUAUUUUUGUGCCACCCUCGCCCUGUCCCUGCCAAAAUGGGUUAUUUUUUUGGAUUUGUGGUCUGCUCCUUUAAUACAUUCCUUCCAGUCUAGGCAGAGCUCUCCAACUGCCUGGCACUGGAGUUAAUUCCUCGCUUCCCAAUCAAUCCAAUCUGCUCCUGAAGGAGAACUCUGCUCACAUUGCCCAGCCCGGUGACACAAACCCUCCCAGGUGGAGGAAACAUUUGUCACCCAGGAGGGCCCUGAAGUGGGAAGGGAAGGUGGAACCUGAUCCUUUUUGGCACUUUCCAUGGGCAGCUCUUCUCCAUCCGACUCUGGGUGACCAUUCCCAGCCUUUGGAGCUCAGCUUCCAGCUGGCAGGAACGUCUCGGACACAGGAAGAGGUUGUAGGGUGUUAAAAACAGGUUGUAUGAGAAGCUGUGGGGUCCCAGCAGUGGGAGGAGGAGGAGGAGGAUGCAGCAGCAGGGCUUGUGUCUGUUCCCGAAACUCCCACUGUUUUCACUGCAGGCAUGACCAGACUGUGAAAUAGCUUGGCUGGGCUGGUGAAUAAUCUCUGAGGCUCUUUUAAUAAACUGCAGUUUUAUUUA